GACAGCAGCAGCCGCGGGAAUACAGAGGGUGCGAGCGUUAAUCGGAUUUACUGGGCGUAAAGCGUGCGUAGGCGGCUUCUUAAGUCGGAUGUGAAAUCCCUGAGCUUAACUUAGGAAUUGCAUUCGAUACUGGGAAGCUAGAGUAUGGGAGAGGAUGGUAGAAUUCCAGGUGUAGCGGUGAAAUGCGUAGAGAUCUGGAGGAAUACCGAUGGCGAAGGCAGCCAUCUGGCCUAAUACUGACGCUGAGGUACGAAAGCAUGGGGAGCAAACAGGAUUAGAUACCCGAGUAGUCCCUGUCUCUUAUAC
This 306-nucleotide ribosomal RNA is filed under the name uncultured bacterium. RNAcentral describes it as "partial 16S ribosomal RNA". It matches the Rfam family "Bacterial small subunit ribosomal RNA", at positions 505 to 807 of the family's 1533-position model. The record is from RNAcentral.